AAAAUGUUUUCAGCUCCUGGAGGCGAAAGGUGCAGAGUCGCUCUGUGUCCGUGAGGCCGGGCGGCGACCUCGCUCAGUCGGCUUCUCGGUCCGAGUCCCCGGGUACGAGGAAAGACCACAGGGGGCUUCUCGCGGAAAAGCGGGCCGCGGACCCUGCGCGGGCUGGCUGGGGCGGGCGGAUGACGAGGCGCAGGGGCAAGGGUGGGUCUGCGAGGCGGCGGGUCCGGGCGUCUUAGGCUCCGGGGCUCCCUCGCUGGCGGCGGAGCAGGGAUGGCGCGCCCGGGGGUCUGGAUGCUGGUAGCCGGCUUCCUGCUGGCGCUGCCGCCGAGCUGGGCCGCGGGCGCCCCGAGGGCGGGCAGGCGCCCCGCGCGGCCGCGGGGCUGCGCGGACCGGCCGGAGGAGCUACUGGAGCAGCUGUACGGGCGCCUGGCGGCCGGCGUGCUCAGUGCCUUCCACCACACGCUGCAGCUGGGGCCGCGUGAGCAGGCGCGCAACGCGAGCUGCCCGGCAGGGGGCAGGCCCGCCGACCGCCGCUUCCGGCCGCCCACCAACCUGCGCAGCGUGUCGCCCUGGGCCUACAGCUCAGUUUCCAUCACCUCUAAUCAUCCCUGGAGGACUCGUCCUUUGUUCCUGGAUUAAGCCGGGCCACCUGUCACUCGCUCAAGCCAAGCUUCCCACGUGGCCAGGGACACUUCUGCGAUCCCAUCAGAGGGGAAAACUUGAUGUGUUUCAAGAAUGCCCUGGUGCCAAGCUUCUGCAGAGCAGCACGCAGAAAAUGUGAAGACAAAAGAAUGACUGCCCACAGGAGGCGCGGCACAGGGCAGAACUCUGCUCGGUUGCUUGUCCGUGUUUGAAUCUCCUACGACCCGGCGAGGUACCCCAGGUACCUGCCUGAAGCCUACUGCCUGUGCCGGGGCUGCCUGACCGGGCUGUUCGGCGAGGAGGACGUGCGCUUCCGCAGCGCCCCUGUCUACAUGCCCACCGUCGUCCUGCGCCGCACCCCCGCCUGCGCCGGCGGCCGUUCCGUCUACACCGAGGCCUACGUCACCAUCCCCGUGGGCUGCACCUGCGUCCCCGAGCCGGAGAAGGACGCAGACAGCAUCAACUCCAGCAUCGACAAACAGGGCGCCAAGCUCCUGCUGGGCCCCAACGACGCGCCCGCUGGCCCCUGAGGCCGGUCCUGCCCCGGGAGGUCUCCCCGGCCCGCAUCCCGAGGCGCCCAAGCUGGAGCCGCCUGGAGGGCUCGGUCGGCGACCUCUGAAGAGAGUGCACCGAGCAAACCAAGUGCCGGAGCACCAGCGCCGCCUUUCCAUGGAGACUCGUAAGCAGCUUCAUCUGACACGGGCAUCCCUGGCUUGCUUUUAGCUACAAGCAAGCAGCGUGGCUGGAAGCUGAUGGGAAACGACCCGGCACGGGCAUCCUGUGUGCGGCCCGCAUGGAGGGUUUGGAAAAGUUCACGGAGGCUCCCUGAGGAGCCUCUCAGAUCGGCUGCUGCGGGUGCAGGGCGUGACUCACCGCUGGGUGCUUGCCAAAGAGAUAGGGACGCAUAUGCUUUUUAAAGCAAUCUAAAAAUAAUAAUAAGUAUAGCGACUAUAUACCUACUUUUAAAAUCAACUGUUUUGAAUAGAGGCAGAGCUAUUUUAUAUUAUCAAAUGAGAGCUACUCUGUUACAUUUCUUAACAUAUAAACAUCGUUUUUUACUUCUUCUGGUAGAAUUUUUUAAAGCAUAAUUGGAAUCCUUGGAUAAAUUUUGUAGCUGGUACACUCUGGCCUGGGUCUCUGAAUUCAGCCUGUCACCGAUGGCUGACUGAUGAAAUGGACACGUCUCAUCUGACCCACUCUUCCUUCCACUGAAGGUCUUCACGGGCCUCCAGGUGGACCAAAGGGAUGCACAGGCGGCUCGCAUGCCCCAGGGCCAGCUAAGAGUUCCAAAGAUCUCAGAUUUGGUUUUAGUCAUGAAUACAUAAACAGUCUCAAACUCGCACAAUUUUUUCCCCCUUUUGAAAGCCACUGGGGCCAAUUUGUGGUUAAGAGGUGGUGAGAUAAGAAGUGGAACGUGACAUCUUUGCCAGUUGUCAGAAGAAUCCAAGCAGGUAUUGGCUUAGUUGUAAGGGCUUUAGGAUCAGGCUGAAUAUGAGGACAAAGUGGGCCACGUUAGCAUCUGCAGAGAUCAAUCUGGAGGCUUCUGUUUCUGCAUUCUGCCACGAGAGCUAGGUCCUUGAUCUUUUCUUUAGAUUGAAAGUCUGUCUCUGAACACAAUUAUUUGUAAAAGUUAGUAGUUCUUUUUUAAAUCAUUAAAAGAGGCUUGCUGAAGGA
Molecule: RNA transcript, 2316 nt
Organism: Homo sapiens (human)
Lineage: Eukaryota; Metazoa; Chordata; Mammalia; Primates; Hominidae
Gene: IL17D
Gene name: interleukin 17D
Exons: 4
Source: RefSeq, marked reviewed